CCCUUAGAUGUCCUGGGCCGCACGCGCGCUACACUGAUGCAUUCAACGAGUUUUACCUUGGCCGAGAGGCCUGGGCAAUCUUUUAAACCUGCAUCGUGAUAGGGAUAGAUUAUUGCAAUUAUUAAUCUUGAACGAGGAAUUCCUAGUAAACGCAAAUCAUCAAUUUGCAUUGAUUGCGUCCCUGCCCUUUGUACACACCGCCCGUCGCACCUACCGAUUGAAUGGUCCGGUGAAGCCUCGGGAUUGUGGCCAGUUCACUUUAUUGGGAGUUGGCUGUGAGAACUUGUCUAAACCUUAUCAUUUAGAGGAAGGUGAAGUCGUAACA
This 325-nucleotide ribosomal RNA is filed under the name uncultured eukaryote. RNAcentral's name for it is "partial 18S ribosomal RNA". It matches the Rfam family "Eukaryotic small subunit ribosomal RNA", at positions 1470 to 1796 of the family's 1831-position model. The record is from RNAcentral.